AUGCACACACACACACACACACACACACACACACACACAGAGCAUGUUACCAACAGCUUUUUAUUUAACUUUCUCCCUGCCCAGAGCUUCUCUUCACUGACUGUCUGGGACAAGCCAGCGCCGUGGAGCUGUCUCUUUUUCAUUUCUCAGCCUCACUGGCCAUUCCAGUCCUCAAGAAAUAUUUGCUUGAUGUGACUUCUUGGAACCAAAUGUUGGUACCCAACUGAAAGGGAUGGAGCCCUCCGAACUUGGAAGUUCCGCUGAGGAUGAGGGCGGCCGCCAUUUUGAAACGAACAGACUCCAAAAGCACGCUCCACUGGGCCUGCCCCUGCGAUCUUAAAACAGAUGUCCGUGAAAUGUGACCCAUGAAUAGCAGUUAUCUGGAGAGAGAGCUCUGAAGCUGAUGAAACCAUUAGAGCCACUGAAGGCACCUGGUAAAUGCGAUGCGGGGAGUACAGAAGAGAGAAUCAGAAACACACCGGCACUCUCAUUCCCAUGAGGCCACUUACAGUGGGUAAAACGUCGCUUGAGAAGAGCGGCCUAAAAACAAGAACGUCUGCCCUCUUCCUUCUUAACCAAGACUGAGAUGAGGACAAGUCAGACCCUUCAGACCCAUCGUUUCAGGGACCAGCAGCUCCAGCCUGAAUGAGAAGCACGUCCUCCUGGGAGUUACGUCAGCAGCCUGACCUUCCAUCUUCCUCCUCUAAAGAAGCGUCCCUGCCACCCUGAGCACGAAGCCCUCGGGUUCCUAAAGGCCGAGGCGCUUCUUCUCAUUUACUUCCCUUGAGGAAGAAAGACCAGCCCAUCCACCCUCAUUUCCCACCGAAGGGCAUCGCAAAUAAAGUUUGCCCACGCAACCAGGCCACCACCAUUAAUUUCUCUCUGCCCUGCUCUUACAUUCUCCUCAAGGUUUUCAGUCCCCUAGAGAGGCUCCCUUCCCUCUUUUCUUUCCUUCCUCCAGCCCCCCUUUUCACCUCCCUCCACCAUUGUUUGAGGUUAAGAAGCAUGCUACGGUGUUCUAUAAAUCACUUGGCAAGAGUAGACGACAAAAGCAAAAUAUAAUUCAGAUUAAAGUCAUCCUCCCGCUGAAAUGAUAGUUUCUUAAAUAAAUGGCGAUGCUGCCUAUCAAUCUUGCUGGCAACUGGUCCUCUCAUAUUCAUCUUUCUGGGGGUGAUUUAGGAUCCACCUGGGUCCUCCGAGAAGAUUCUCCCAUCAUUUCCUUCCCGUCUCUCUGGAUCUUGCUGCUGGGCUUGGCGCAGUUGACAAAUUCUCCAAGUAAUCCCUCAAAAGAUUGGAGAAAUGCUCCGAACGCUCCAUUAAACUUAUUUUCCAUGCUUUAAGAGACCCAAAACUAUGUCCAAUAAAUAAGUGUUCCCUGUGA
RNAcentral lists this long non-coding RNA (1381 nucleotides) under Homo sapiens (human). Its description in RNAcentral is "HSALNT0346209". The record is from RNAcentral. Lineage: Eukaryota; Metazoa; Chordata; Mammalia; Primates; Hominidae.